AAGUCGUAACAAGGUCUCCGUAGGUGAACCUGCGGAGGGAUCAUUAAACGUAUCCAACGUUUAACUCUUUGUGAAUUCUGUUUCAAAAACACUUUUGUGAGUGGUGACAUUCGAGAUAGUGUGAGUUCUGCAGGUGAGAAUCUUCACGGAUUCUCUGAGUUCUACUAUCGACGUCACGUGUCACAAAGGCUAAAUCCUGUGGGUGUUUUUUUCUUACUUUUAACGCUAUUGUAACAACUUGAUGAAACUUGUGGAUUGGUUUCGCAAUCCACGUUAAACUAAAAAAAUGAAACGUUAAGCACAACUCUUAACAACGGAUAUCUAGGCUCUC
Molecule: unclassified non-coding RNA, 331 nt
Filed under: fungal sp.
Lineage: Eukaryota; Fungi
Description: partial internal transcribed spacer region
Rfam family: Eukaryotic small subunit ribosomal RNA (bases 1-46)
Source: RNAcentral